This 879-nucleotide ribosomal RNA is filed under the name Triticum aestivum (bread wheat). Its description in RNAcentral is "partial small subunit ribosomal RNA". The record is from RNAcentral. Lineage: Eukaryota; Viridiplantae; Streptophyta; Magnoliopsida; Poales; Poaceae.
AUGGACCAUUCUCAGGAGAAGGCGAUCUCCUCAGCCAAGACGGCUCCGGAGGCGCCUAUAUCUAGCUCGCCUGUUGACGCGGCCAAGGAUCAGGAGCCCCCAGCUCCACUUCCUGUCAUCCCCAGCUCGCAGGUCUUGGAGAUGGCGCAGCCUCCUCCCUUGGUCGAAUCCCUGUCCCGCGAUCCUUUCGCACCGCCUAACGCCUUGGAGCAGGCCCUUUCCGCACUGGCACGACUUCGGGCUGACCUCCAAGGCACUAACUGCCGACUGGUGGCGGGGCGCCUGGAACUGAUCUCUAGUUGGUUGCACUCCGACGCGUCUGUCAGGGCGGCGCUGAGCCAGACCGUGGCAGCUGCCGAGGAGGACAAGCGGCCUGCUGAACAAGUCGUGGCCGCCCGUGAGGUGGCGCUGAAGGACGCAGAGGCUGCCAAGAAGCGCUGCCGGUCGAUGGAGGCCGAGUUGCAGACCAUGCGCAACAAGCACGCGGCCGAGGCUAGCGGUCGCAGGGUGGAGGAGGAAAAUAUGAAGGCCGGAGAAGACGCCGUCGCCAGUCGUGACGCCGAGCUAGAGCAAUCGGCGAGGGCGCAGGCCGUGGAACGCAGCCGCCUGGAGGAGCUGCAGAAGACGAUGGCGGCAGAGAAGGCCCAGCUAGAGUCCAAGGCGAAGGUUCUGGCUGAGGAUAGUGCGGCCUUCAAGUCCCUUGAGGAGAGAUCCCGCGAGGCGUUGAAAGCACUCUAUGAGAAGGGCUUGGAGAAGCCACUGGCGACGGAUGACAAAGGCCGCGCUCAGCUGCUUCCUUAUCUUGUCAUGGCGCUCGAGGGUGUCGUCGCCGGGAUCGUCCCCAUGGUGGAGGGGGAAGCCCGCGCUCUUUCUUCUUAG